UUGGUUGUCGUCAGCUCGUGUCGUGAGAUGUUGGGUUAAGUCCCGCAACGAGCGCAACCCCUAUUGCUAGUUACCAUCAUUAAGUUGGGGACUCUAGCGAGACUGCCAGUGAUAAACUGGAGGAAGGUGGGGAUGACGUCAAAUCAUCAUGCCCCUUAUGACCUGGGCUACAAACGUGAUACAAUGGCUGGAACAAAGGGAUGCGAAGCAGUGAUGUGGAGCGAAACCCAUAAAAACAGUCUCAGUUCGGAUUGAAGUCUGCAACUCGACUUCAUGAAGUCGGAAUCGCUAGUAAUCGCGGAUCAGAACGCCGCGGUGAAUACGUUCUCGGGGUUU
Molecule: ribosomal RNA, 336 nt
Filed under: uncultured Acholeplasma sp.
Lineage: Bacteria; Bacillati; Mycoplasmatota; Mollicutes; Acholeplasmatales; Acholeplasmataceae
Description: bacterial SSU rRNA
Rfam family: Bacterial small subunit ribosomal RNA
Source: RNAcentral